This 497-nucleotide ribosomal RNA is filed under the name uncultured bacterium. Its description in RNAcentral is "partial 16S ribosomal RNA". It matches the Rfam family "Bacterial small subunit ribosomal RNA", at positions 28 to 507 of the family's 1533-position model. The record is from RNAcentral.
GACGAACGCUGGCGGCGUGCCUAAUACAUGCAAGUUGAGCGCUGAAGGUUGGUACUUGUACCAACUGGAUGAGCAGCGAACGGGUGAGUAACGCGUGGGGAAUCUGCCUUUGAGCGGGGGACAACAUUUGGAAACGAAUGCUAAUACCGCAUAAAAACUUUAAACACAAGUUUUAAGUUUGAAAGAUGCAAUUGCAUCACUCAAAGAUGAUCCCGCGUUGUAUUAGCUAGUUGGUGAGGUAAAGGCUCACCAAGGCGAUGAUACAUAGCCGACCUGAGAGGGUGGUAGGCCACAUUGGGACUGGGACACGGCCCAAGCGCCUACGGGACGCAGCAGUAGGGAAUCUUCGGCAAUGGACGAAAGUCUGACCGAGCAACGCCGCGUGAGUGAAGGAGGUUUUCGGAUCGUAAAACUCUGUUGGUAGAGAAGAACGUUUGUGAGAGUGGAAAGCUCAUCAAGUGACGGUAACUACCCAGAAAGGGACGGCUAACUACGUG